This 208-nucleotide unclassified non-coding RNA is filed under the name soil metagenome. RNAcentral describes it as "partial contains 5.8S ribosomal RNA, internal transcribed spacer 2, and large subunit ribosomal RNA". The record is from RNAcentral.
AACUGAUACUACCUGCGGGAACCUGCGGAGGGAUCAUUACCGAGUUUACAACUCCCAAACCCCUGUGAACAUACCACUUGUUGCCUCGGCGGAUCAGCCCGCUCCCGGUAAAACGGGACGGCCCGCCAGAGGACCCCUAAACUCUGUUUCUAUAUGUAACUUCUGAGUAAAACCAUAAAUAAAUCAAAACUUUCAGCAACGGAUCUCU